RNAcentral lists this ribosomal RNA (258 nucleotides) under uncultured Leptotrichia sp. Its description in RNAcentral is "partial 16S ribosomal RNA". It matches the Rfam family "Bacterial small subunit ribosomal RNA", at positions 99 to 357 of the family's 1533-position model. The record is from RNAcentral. Lineage: Bacteria; Fusobacteriati; Fusobacteriota; Fusobacteriia; Fusobacteriales; Leptotrichiaceae.
CGGACGGGUGAGUAACGCGUAAAGAACUUGCCCUUUAGACUGGGAUAACAGAGGGAAACUUCUGAUAAUACUGGAUAAGUUAGUAUAUCGCAUGAUAUGCAAAUGAAAGCUACGGCACUAAAGGAGAGCUUUGCGUCCUAUUAGCUAGUUGGUAAGGUAAGAGCUUACCAAGGCGAUGAUAGGUAGCCGGCCUGAGAGGGUGGACGGCCACAAGGGGACUGAGAUACGGCCCUUACUCCUACGGGAGGGCAGCAGGCC